Mus musculus (house mouse) is the source of this 535-nucleotide long non-coding RNA. RefSeq annotates it as predicted gene, 34017. NCBI's taxonomy places the organism in Eukaryota, Metazoa, Chordata, Mammalia, Rodentia, Muridae. The transcript has 3 exons. The record is from RefSeq and is a predicted model, not a curated record.
AACUGAUUAAUGAGGGUCACUGACCCCAGAGGUCCAGCCUCUCGGUGCAGGCUGAGGUCAGCAGGCCCACGUGGGAGUGUACACACCUGCUCAGCACGAGUGUUGAGGGGUUCCAGCUCUGCGAAGGCAGCCCUUCAGCAGCGUCUGAGCUUUGCUAAGUUCCAGAAGGAGCACUUGGACAGAUGUCAUGGUGUCGUGUUGGCAGCCCAUGGUCCAAACCACCCAUGCCAGAGACCCAGGCACCGUCCUGUCCCCACAUCGAGCUCUGUCAUGAAACCUGCCAGGACAACUUCCUCAAAGUUUGGGGGCAAAAUUCAGGAGUGGCUACAGAGGGAAAACAAGACCAGAACAAGCUAAAGGAAGAGAUGAGGCAAAGUCACAGAUAGAGCUGUUGGAGAGAGAAAGGAGUGGCCUGAGCAUUCUACCCAUACGUGGACAUCGCCACAUCAGAAGGAGCACCUGAAGUCCUCGUCCAGAGAAGCUACGCCAAUCCACACCCUGAUAGUGGCAGUCGACCCGGGGAAUUCUAUUAAAU